Long non-coding RNA from Arachis ipaensis, 1727 nucleotides. RefSeq lists it as uncharacterized. NCBI's taxonomy places the organism in Eukaryota, Viridiplantae, Streptophyta, Magnoliopsida, Fabales, Fabaceae. The record is from RefSeq and is a predicted model, not a curated record.
UCUUCCCUCUCAUUUUUUCAUGUUUCAUCCAAACAAUGCCUUAAAGGUCUUAUGAGUAGUUAGACCCCAAAAAAUGUAGGAUAAAAGCUGAAGUUCUAAUGGUUCAGUCUCAAUUUCCUGCUCCACAAGACUCAAAGCUUCAUCUUCAAGUUCUUCCUCCUCUUCCUAAUCCAUCAAAAUAAUUUGAAAAUUUUUUAUUUAGCAAACAUGGUCUUGCUCCCAUUUCUCUCCACACUUAAAACCAUAAUCCCUUUCUUUGUCUAUCAGCCAAUUCUUCUUGAGACAAUCUCCUCACUCCUUACGCUUUUGGCCUAUUUGACCCACUACUACUUAUUCCGACAGUAUUCAUUGAAGUAGAAGUAAUGUUUGGGCCCACAAUACACUUGGCCACUCCUGCACCUCGCACUCUAUUACUCGUUUGGACAUUUGGGCCUUGCUACAGUGUGGAAUUCUUGCUUACUCUCUCACUCUCUCACCCUCCACCUCUGCUCGUUCUUCUUCUCUCUCAAUGUGCUUUCUCUCGCGGCAGCCUAACUCUUCCAACCUCUUCAGGAUCAUUUCCAUGGUGCCACUCUACUCCUCUAUGGAAGAUUCAUAGCACAAUAUGAGGUAAAUCCAAAUAAGGUUCGAGAAGCACUACAAAAGCUUGAUCAAGAAAUCCAGUCUCUCUCUCCAAUAAACCAAUUUCUUAUCCAAAAGUUAUAGAUUUUGGGAAUUGUAGAGAACGUGAGCUGCUUUAAGUGUCCACAUUGUGGUGAAUCAUCAUAAGUAAAAGUCUAGGGGACCAACAACUUUUGUGUUUUCUGACCAGCACUUAACCAUCAAAAUAAAAGUGAGUGAUUUCUCACCAUUAGAUGUAAUCUUACACCAUUAAAAACACUAUUGAUGGCCAAUUGAUAAUUACAAAAUACCAAAAUUGUUGGCCCCUAGCAUUCCUCAUCAUUAUAUGUAUUUAGUAAAGGAGGGGCACCUAAGACAGCCACUGAAAUAGAGCUAGAAUAUCUGUACGAGAUAUGCUAGUUAUCUCUAUAUGUAGAAUGUACAUAUUAGAUUAUAAUUUUGCAGUGGAAGCUUUAUUAUAUGAUAACUUGUAACUUCUUUAAUUUUUGGUUGAUAAAGCUAUAUCUUUGUGAAAAUGCAAACCAAAGUUUUUUAGGGUAUUACAUAAACUCUCAAAAAUAGUAAGAAGUUAGUGUUUUAAGCUUAUCAUCUCCUGUUAGCUACUCUGAGGCACCUCUGAAGAAAUCUGAGUUAUUCACUCAAUGGAAAGCUUGCAAUCAGGGAGUUCCGAGUGAUAUCAGGAACCAAGUGUCACGGUUUUAGAAUGUUAGAUUUAAGGUGUUUGUAUAAUAUUCUACCGUGUUUGAGAAUGUUUUAAAUAGUUUCAGAAUAUUUUAGAAUGCUUUAAAAGGUCCCAGAAUAUCCUAAAAGGUUCUAAAAGACUUUGGAAGGUCAUAGAAUAUUUUAGAAGAGUGUGGAUGUAUAUAGAAGUAUGAAAAGUAGUAUGAAAUAAUCUAGAAGUAUUUAGAAAAAUAUAGUAGGAUAGAUAUUUGUAGUGAAGGUCUGGAUGAUCAAUCUGGACCGUUAGUUAAAUUUUAAUCAUAACCAUCUAUUGAAGAGGUGGAAAUAGAGGUGAGAGUUAAAGUUUGGGUGUGUAAGUCAUUUGUAACAAACACUUGAAUAAUAAAGUGUUCUUUUAACCAAAGCUUUUUUUCUCUUGUAUUCUU